AUUGAACGCUGGCGGCAUGCCUUACACAUGCAAGUCGAACGGCAGCGGGGGUAGCUUGCUACCUGCCGGCGAGUGGCGAACGGGUGAGUAAUACAUCGGAACGUGCCCUGUAGUGGGGGAUAACUAGUCGAAAGACUAGCUAAUACCGCAUACGACCUGAGGGUGAAAGUGGGGGACCGCAAGGCCUCAUGCUAUAGGAGCGGCCGAUGUCUGAUUAGCUAGUUGGUGGGGUAAAGGCCCACCAAGGCGACGAUCAGUAGCUGGUCUGAGAGGACGAUCAGCCACACUGGGACUGAGACACGGCCCAGACUCCUACGGGAGGCAGCAGUGGGGAAUUUUGGACAAUGGGGGCAACCCUGAUCCAGCAAUGCCGCGUGUGUGAAGAAGGCCUUCGGGUUGUAAAGCACCUUUAUCCGGAAAGAAAUCGCACUGGUUAAUACCUGGUGUGGAUGACGGUACCGGAAGAAUAAGGACCGGCUAACUACGUGCCAGCCGCCGCGGUAA
RNAcentral lists this ribosomal RNA (504 nucleotides) under uncultured bacterium. Its description in RNAcentral is "partial 16S ribosomal RNA". It matches the Rfam family "Bacterial small subunit ribosomal RNA", at positions 30 to 523 of the family's 1533-position model. The record is from RNAcentral.